GACGUAGGGCGCGAGCGUUGUCCGGAUUUAUUGGGCGUAAAGAGCUCGUAGGCGGCUUGUUACGUCGACUGUGAAAUCCCGCGGCUCAACUGCGGGCUUGCAGCCGAGACGGGCAGGCUAGAGUUCGGUAGGGGAGAGUGGAAUUCCUGGUGUAGCGGUGAAAUGCGCAGAUAUCAGGAGGAACACCGGUGGCGAAGGCGGGUCUCUGGGCCGAUACUGACGCUGAGGAGCGAAAGCGUGGGGAGCGAACAGG
This 253-nucleotide ribosomal RNA is filed under the name uncultured bacterium. RNAcentral's name for it is "partial 16S ribosomal RNA". It matches the Rfam family "Bacterial small subunit ribosomal RNA", at positions 524 to 776 of the family's 1533-position model. The record is from RNAcentral.